RNAcentral lists this ribosomal RNA (253 nucleotides) under uncultured bacterium. Its description in RNAcentral is "partial 16S ribosomal RNA". It matches the Rfam family "Bacterial small subunit ribosomal RNA", at positions 524 to 776 of the family's 1533-position model. The record is from RNAcentral.
UACAGAGGGUGCUAGCGUUGUUCGGAAUCAUUGGGCGUAAAGGGCGUGUAGGCGGUUUGUUAAGUCAUGUGUGAAAUCCCUCGGCUCAACCGGGGAACGACGCAUGAAACUGGCAAGCUAGAGUACCAAAGAGGGGGGUGGAAUUCCCGGUGUAGCGGUGAAAUGCGUAGAUAUCAGGAGGAACACCUGUGGCGAAAGCGGCUCACUGGACCACAACUGACGCUGAUGCACGAAAGCUAGGGGAGCAAACAGG